RNAcentral lists this ribosomal RNA (1557 nucleotides) under Staphylococcus aureus subsp. aureus NCTC 8325. Its description in RNAcentral is "16S Ribosomal RNA". It matches the Rfam family "Bacterial small subunit ribosomal RNA". The record is from RNAcentral. Lineage: Bacteria; Bacillati; Bacillota; Bacilli; Caryophanales; Staphylococcaceae.
UUUUAUGGAGAGUUUGAUCCUGGCUCAGGAUGAACGCUGGCGGCGUGCCUAAUACAUGCAAGUCGAGCGAACGGACGAGAAGCUUGCUUCUCUGAUGUUAGCGGCGGACGGGUGAGUAACACGUGGAUAACCUACCUAUAAGACUGGGAUAACUUCGGGAAACCGGAGCUAAUACCGGAUAAUAUUUUGAACCGCAUGGUUCAAAAGUGAAAGACGGUCUUGCUGUCACUUAUAGAUGGAUCCGCGCUGCAUUAGCUAGUUGGUAAGGUAACGGCUUACCAAGGCAACGAUGCAUAGCCGACCUGAGAGGGUGAUCGGCCACACUGGAACUGAGACACGGUCCAGACUCCUACGGGAGGCAGCAGUAGGGAAUCUUCCGCAAUGGGCGAAAGCCUGACGGAGCAACGCCGCGUGAGUGAUGAAGGUCUUCGGAUCGUAAAACUCUGUUAUUAGGGAAGAACAUAUGUGUAAGUAACUGUGCACAUCUUGACGGUACCUAAUCAGAAAGCCACGGCUAACUACGUGCCAGCAGCCGCGGUAAUACGUAGGUGGCAAGCGUUAUCCGGAAUUAUUGGGCGUAAAGCGCGCGUAGGCGGUUUUUUAAGUCUGAUGUGAAAGCCCACGGCUCAACCGUGGAGGGUCAUUGGAAACUGGAAAACUUGAGUGCAGAAGAGGAAAGUGGAAUUCCAUGUGUAGCGGUGAAAUGCGCAGAGAUAUGGAGGAACACCAGUGGCGAAGGCGACUUUCUGGUCUGUAACUGACGCUGAUGUGCGAAAGCGUGGGGAUCAAACAGGAUUAGAUACCCUGGUAGUCCACGCCGUAAACGAUGAGUGCUAAGUGUUAGGGGGUUUCCGCCCCUUAGUGCUGCAGCUAACGCAUUAAGCACUCCGCCUGGGGAGUACGACCGCAAGGUUGAAACUCAAAGGAAUUGACGGGGACCCGCACAAGCGGUGGAGCAUGUGGUUUAAUUCGAAGCAACGCGAAGAACCUUACCAAAUCUUGACAUCCUUUGACAACUCUAGAGAUAGAGCCUUCCCCUUCGGGGGACAAAGUGACAGGUGGUGCAUGGUUGUCGUCAGCUCGUGUCGUGAGAUGUUGGGUUAAGUCCCGCAACGAGCGCAACCCUUAAGCUUAGUUGCCAUCAUUAAGUUGGGCACUCUAAGUUGACUGCCGGUGACAAACCGGAGGAAGGUGGGGAUGACGUCAAAUCCCAUCAUGCCCCUUAUGAUUUGGGCUACACACGUGCUACAAUGGACAAUACAAAGGGCAGCGAAACCGCGAGGUCAAGCAAAUCCCAUAAAGUUGUUCUCAGUUCGGAUUGUAGUCUGCAACUCGACUACAUGAAGCUGGAAUCGCUAGUAAUCGUAGAUCAGCAUGCUACGGUGAAUACGUUCCCGGGUCUUGUACACACCGCCCGUCACACCACGAGAGUUUGUAACACCCGAAGCCGGUGGAGUAACCUUUUAGGAGCUAGCCGUCGAAGGUGGGACAAAUGAUUGGGGUGAAGUCGUAACAAGGUAGCCGUAUCGGAAGGUGCGGCUGGAUCACCUCCUUUCU